CAACCCUUAAGCCUUGUAGCUUAGCGUUGGGAAUCUACCCCUCACUGAGGGGUAGUUCCUUAAAUUUAGUGGCGGGGUUAUAGCACACUCUAAGCGUAGUAGUUUAACUCGCUUUCAGGGAGGCUGUAGCUGCUUGCCGUAAAACCCCCUAUAACUUAUAGU
Molecule: unclassified non-coding RNA, 162 nt
Filed under: uncultured Annulohypoxylon
Lineage: Eukaryota; Fungi; Ascomycota; Sordariomycetes; Xylariales
Description: sequence contains ITS2
Source: RNAcentral